AGAUUGAACGCUGGCGGCAUGCUUUACACAUGCAAGUCGAGCGGCAGCGCGGGGGCAACCCUGGCGGCGAGCGGCGAACGGGUGAGGAACACAUCGGAACGUGCCCCGGAGUGGGGGAUAACGCCGCGAAAGCGGCGCUAAUACCGCAUAUGCUCUGAGGAGGAAAGCGGGGGACCUGCGAGGGCCUCGCGCUCUGGGAGCGGCCGAUGUCCGAUUAGCUAGUUGGUGGGGUAAUGGCUCACCAAGGCGACGAUCGGUAGCUGGUCUGAGAGGAUGAUCAGCCACACUGGGACUGAGACACGGCCCAGACUCCUACGGGAGGCAGCA
This 327-nucleotide ribosomal RNA is filed under the name uncultured soil bacterium. Its description in RNAcentral is "bacterial SSU rRNA". It matches the Rfam family "Bacterial small subunit ribosomal RNA", at positions 26 to 353 of the family's 1533-position model. The record is from RNAcentral.